Molecule: RNA transcript, 6098 nt
Organism: Mus musculus (house mouse)
Lineage: Eukaryota; Metazoa; Chordata; Mammalia; Rodentia; Muridae
Gene: Aqr
Gene name: aquarius
Exons: 35
Source: RefSeq, marked validated
AGGUUCCGGGAGGAACCGUGGGAGCCCAGCGUGUCUGUGCCGGGCGCUCUGGCACCUCGGGGCUGGGUCGCCGCCGCUGCUUGAAAGCUUUCGAGAGUCGCCGCUACGAGCCUCUGGUCAGCUUCAGUGGCGAUCGCUGCGAUGGCGGCUCCUGCGCAGCCCAAGAAAAUCGUGGCCCCCACGGUGUCCCAGAUCAACGCGGAGUUCGUCACUCAGCUAGCAUGUAAAUACUGGGCUCCUCAUAUCAAGAAGAAAUCACCGUUUGAUAUAAAAGUAAUUGAAGAAAUAUAUGAAAAAGAGAUCGUCAAAUCACGGUUUGCCAUCAGGAAAAUAAUGCUGCUGGAAUUUAGCCAAUACCUUGAAAAUUAUCUUUGGAUGAAUUAUUCUCCGGAAGUUUCCAGCAAGGCCUAUUUAAUGUCCAUCUGCUGUAUGGUGAAUGAGAAGUUCAGAGAAAAUGUCCCAGCCUGGGAGACCUUUAAGAAGAAACCAGACCACUUCCCAUUCUUUUUUAAGUGCAUCUUGAAAGCGGCCUUAGCUGAGACUGACGGCGAGUUCUCCCUCCACGAGCAGACACUGCUCCUGCUUUUCCUGGAUCACUGCUUCAAUAGCUUGGAAGUAGACUUGAUAAGGAGUCAGGUGCAGCAGCUUAUCUCGCUCCCGAUGUGGAUGGGCUUGCAGCCUGCACGAUUGGAAUUAGAAUUGAAAAAGACACCAAAGCUAAGAAAAUUCUGGAACCUGAUUAAAAAGAAUGAUGAAAAGAUGGACCCAGAAGCAAGAGAGCAGGCCUACCAAGAAAGAAGGUUUCUCUCCCGGCUCAUCCAGAAGUUCAUCUCCGUGUUGAAGUCCAUCCCGCUUUCUGAGCCUGUCACCAUGGACAAGGUUCAUUACUGUGAAAGAUUCAUCGAACUGAUGAUUGAUCUAGAGGCUCUACUCCCCACGAGGCGCUGGUUUAACACCAUCCUGGAUGACUCCCACCUUCUGGUUCACUGCUACCUCUCCAGUCUUGUUCACAGAGAAGAGGACGGCCAUCUGUUUUCCCAGCUUUUAGACAUGCUGAAGUUCUAUACUGGCUUUGAGAUUAACGACCAGACUGGAAAUGCUCUGACAGAGAACGAGAUGACCACGAUUCACUAUGACAGAAUUACAUCUCUGCAGAGGGCUGCCUUCGCACACUUCCCCGAGCUCUAUGACUUUGCCCUCUCCAAUGUGGCAGAAGUAGAUGCCCGAGAUUCCUUGGUCAAGUUUUUUGGGCCUCUCAGUUCAAACACACUCCACCAGGUGGCAUCAUACCUCUGCCUCUUGCCAACGCUCCCUAAAAAUGAAGACACAACUUUUGAUAAAGAGUUUCUUCUAGAAUUGCUGGUGUCUCGCCACGAACGCCGCAUCUCUCAAAUUCAGCAACUGAAUCAGAUGCCUUUGUAUCCAACUGAGAAAAUUAUAUGGGAUGAGAACAUCGUCCCUACUGAGUACUAUUCUGGGGAAGGCUGCCUUGCUCUCCCCAAGUUGAAUCUGCAGUUUUUGACUCUGCACGACUAUCUCCUGAGGAACUUCAAUCUCUUCCGCUUAGAGUCAACUUACGAAAUUAGACAAGACAUCGAGGACAGUGUCAGCAGAAUGAAGCCCUGGCAGUCUGAGUAUGGUGGCGUAGUGUUCGGUGGUUGGGCACGGAUGGCCCAGCCCAUUGUGGCUUUCACUGUAGUCGAGGUUGCCAAACCCAACAUCGGUGAAAACUGGCCAACCCGAGUUCGUGCAGAUGUCACCAUCAAUCUGAAUGUCAGAGACCACAUCAAGGAUGAGUGGGAAGGUCUUCGAAAGCACGAUGUAUGCUUUUUAAUUACUGUGCGUCCAACAAAACCUUACGGCACUAAGUUUGACAGGAGGAGACCUUUUAUUGAGCAAGUUGGUCUGGUGUACGUCAGAGGCUGUGAAAUCCAGGGCAUGCUGGAUGACAAAGGGCGAGUCAUCGAAGACGGACCUGAACCCAGACCCAAUCUUAGAGGAGAGUCAAGGACAUUUCGAGUAUUUUUGGAUCCAAACCAGUAUCAACAGGAUAUGACCAAUACGAUACAAAACGGAGCCGAAGAUGUGUAUGACACUUUCAAUGUCAUAAUGAGGAGGAAACCGAAGGAGAAUAACUUCAAGGCUGUGUUGGAGACGAUUCGGAAUCUGAUGAAUACUGACUGCGUGGUACCGGACUGGCUGCAUGACAUCAUUUUGGGCUAUGGGGACCCAAGUAGUGCCCAUUAUUCAAAAAUGCCCAAUCAGAUUGCCACCCUGGAUUUCAAUGACACUUUUCUCUCCAUUGAACAUUUAAAGGCCAGCUUUCCUGGUCAUAAUGUCAAAGUGACUGUGAGUGACCCAGCACUCCAAAUCCCCCCUUUCAGAAUAACGUUCCCAGUAAGAAGUGGAAAGGGGAAGAAAAGAAAAGAUGCAGACGGGGAAGAAGAUGACACAGAAGAAGCAAAGACCUUAAUUGUGGAGCCUCAUGUUAUUCCUAAUAGAGGCCCUUAUCCUUACAACCAGCCCAAACGUAAUACAAUCCAGUUCACUCAUACACAGAUAGAGGCCAUCCGGGCCGGAAUGCAGCCUGGACUCACCAUGGUUGUGGGCCCACCUGGUACAGGAAAAACAGAUGUUGCAGUCCAGAUCAUAUCCAACAUUUACCACAAUUUCCCAGAACAGAGGACUUUAAUUGUUACUCAUUCCAAUCAGGCUCUGAACCAGCUGUUUGAGAAAAUCAUGGCUUUAGACAUUGAUGAGCGCCAUCUCCUGCGUCUGGGUCAUGGAGAAGAAGAGCUAGAGACAGAGAAAGACUUUAGCAGGUAUGGAAGAGUUAAUUAUGUCCUAGCUCGAAGAAUAGAACUUUUAGAAGAAGUCAAACGGUUACAAAAGAGUCUGGGGGUUCCCGGAGAUGCUUCGUAUACCUGUGAAACUGCCGGCUAUUUCUUCUUAUAUCAGGUGAUGUCCCGCUGGGAAGAAUACAUGAGCAGAGUGAAGAACUCGGGGACUGCCUGCCCGGACGCUGCCCCGGACGCUGCACAGGUCGCCACGUUCUUCCCCUUCCAUGAGUAUUUUGCCAAUGCUCCUCAGCCCAUCUUUAAAGGCAGAUCUUAUGAGGAAGACAUGGAAAUCGCUGAAGGGUGCUUCAGGCACAUUAAGAAAAUCUUCACCCAACUUGAGGAGUUCAGAGCCUCGGAGCUGCUUCGCAGUGGACUGGACAGAUCCAAAUACCUCUUGGUAAAAGAAGCCAAAAUCAUCGCUAUGACAUGUACUCAUGCUGCCUUGAAACGACACGACUUGGUCAAGUUGGGUUUCAAGUAUGACAACAUUUUAAUGGAAGAGGCUGCUCAGAUUCUGGAGAUCGAAACCUUUAUCCCUCUACUUCUGCAGAAUCCUCAAGACGGAUUCAGCCGAUUGAAACGGUGGAUUAUGAUUGGCGAUCACCACCAAUUGCCUCCAGUCAUUAAGAACAUGGCCUUUCAGAAGUAUUCCAACAUGGAGCAGUCUCUUUUCACUCGCUUCGUCCGGGUUGGAGUUCCUACUGUGGACCUUGAUGCUCAAGGGAGAGCCAGGGCAAGCUUGUGUAACCUCUACAACUGGCGCUACAAAAACCUAGGGAAUUUGCCCCAUGUGCAGCUCCUGCCAGAGUUCAGCACAGCCAACGCGGGCCUGCUGUAUGACUUCCAGCUCAUCAACGUGGAAGACUUUCAGGGCGUGGGAGAGUCGGAGCCUAACCCUUACUUCUACCAGAACCUUGGAGAGGCAGAGUAUGUAGUGGCGCUCUUCAUGUACAUGUGCUUGCUUGGUUACCCUGCAGACAAGAUCAGUAUUCUAACAACCUACAAUGGACAGAAGCAUCUGAUUCGGGACAUCAUCAAUAGGCGCUGUGGGAAUAAUCCACUGAUUGGAAGGCCAAACAAAGUGACAACAGUUGACAGAUUCCAGGGUCAGCAGAACGAUUAUAUCCUCCUUUCGCUAGUGCGGACCAGGGCUGUGGGUCAUCUGAGGGAUGUGCGUCGCUUGGUGGUAGCCAUGUCAAGAGCCAGGCUUGGCCUUUACAUCUUCGCUCGAGUGUCCCUCUUCCAGAACUGCUUUGAACUGACUCCUGCUUUCAGCCAGCUCACUGCCCGCCCACUGCAUUUGCAUAUCAUUCCAACAGAACCCUUCCCAACCUCCAGAAAGGCUCUUCCUUCUCCGGCACUUCUCUUGCCAGAGCUGCAGACACUGGAUCAUGCUCGGAGUGUGGCUGUUUUCUUCCAGCUGCAGAGUUCACUGUUCUGCUCUUUUCACUGGAUGAAAUGUCCCAGAGAUCUAGGAAAUUUCAAUAAACAGACAGUUUUAUAAAUAUACUCAGUAAAACUAUUUUUCACUCCUCUAAAACGAACAAAAUAAGUUUGAUGUGUUUGUUCUAUGGUGGUGAUGUUAACUAUUUCUCUUUAAAGACAUUUCUGAUUGCUUGUCUGUUUGUUUCAUUUUUAAGAAAAGCCACUGAGAGAGAAAGCAGGAGGGAAGGGGGGGAGGGCUGUGGAACAGCAUCGCAAAGCUCUGAUGCCACACGGAUGCCUCCUGUGCAGCUCUCCAUUGGGUCUUUUAUAGACUUAGCAUUACAUGCCAGCUACUCUAAGGUGGGGUCCUUUUUUCCUGGAAAACUUGUCUUUAUACUGAUAGACUUCCACAUCAACCCCUACAGUAAAAGGAGAAGAUUUUAUGUAUGAUCAGUGAUUACAAAUAGGAAAGUUAUCAAUCGUCAAGGUGACUGAAAGAGAAGAACAGAUCUGUUUCCUUCACUUGCUUUGCUGAUUUACUGCUAGAGAGAUCUUUCUCAGCAAUUUUAAAUCCAUGAAAGUCCCCUCAUCCCACUGCAGACCACAGAAUCCAGCUCUCAGGGUGGUGCAGGUGAGGGGUCUGUGCUGCGACAGUGUCUCAGCAGAGCCGGACAGAUGCUGCAGAGCUUAAAAACGGGGAUUUGAAUAUUACAUCCAUGGGUGAUAGCUACAUGUUAAUAAUAAUAAAUGUUAACAUCUCAUGCUUCAGAAAAUAGAAAUAGGAGAAAUGGUUCUUGUAUUUUCAUUCUGAAACAUUGUAGAUUCUCUGGAUUCUAGACACGGGUAGAAAUUGUUGCCUUUAGACCAUGUUGAUUUAGUUCCUCUACUCAUGACGUCUCAUCUUACUCUUUGAUAUUAGUUUACAUACGAAAAUUCUUAGUUUACUUACCAGCCCAAAGAUGAAUUAAAACCUGACGACUAUGCAGUGUGUUGUCUUUCAUUUCUCUGAAUUUUAUGAGGUAGUUUCUGGACUCUGGCGUUGGAUUUCAUGACCUCCAUACUCUAGCGGUUGUUACAGAUUCAGAAAGGGGCUUAUGCUGAAAUGAUAGCUGUGGUGGGUUUAUUCACUAAACGCUUCUCUCUCUCUCUGCUGUCUUCUAGAAUGGAGAGAGACCACCUCAUGAAGUGCAGGUAAUUAAGAACAUGCCCCAGAUGGCGAACUUUGUGUACAACAUGUAUAUGCAUCUGAUACAGACUACCCAUCAUUAUCAUCAGACUUUCUUACAACUGCCACCUGCCAUGGUGGAAGAAGGUGAGGAAGGUCAGAGCCAAGAAACAGAAAUGGAAGCAGAAGAAGAAACCGUGUCUGCUCAAGGUAACCUCACACCCAGUCCAGCGGAUGCCAGCCUGAGUCAAGAGACCCCAGCCGCUCAGCCUGACUGCUCCAGUCAGACAGAAGACACCUCUGCCCCGUGUGACAUUGCUACUGCAGCUGAGCCUGUCUCUGCAGCAGCAGAAGCUGCCACCCCACAAGAUGCAGAGUCUGUCCCCACAGAGACCGAGUAGCCUAUCUGCAGCACAGCCUGGGACAUUCCAUUUAUAAACUCUAAGUGAGGUUACCUUUUGAAUUUCAUACUUAGUUACUGUAUGACUUUAAUAACACCAGCUAAUUUCAGUACUUAUGGUUUUUAGCUGGUUUCCUUAUUUUGUAUAUUUUUUAUUUGUAAAUAUUAAAAAUAACUCUAGUUUCAUUUGUUCAUUCAGAAGAGAAAAUAAUUUUGAUUGCUGAAUGUAUCUGAGGUAAUCCCUGCAUUAAAAUCAUUUUCUAUCAAA